UACGUAGGGGGCAAGCGUUGUCCGGAAUCACUGGGCGUAAAGCGCGCGCAGGCGGUCAUCUACGUCUGGGGUGAAAGCCCGGAGCUCAACUCCGGGAUUGCCUUGGAUACGGGAUGACUUGAGGAUCGGAGAGGCAAGGGGAAUUCCACGUGUAGCGGUGAAAUGCGUAGAGAUGUGGAGGAACACCGGUGGCGAAGGCGGCAUCCUGGACCAACACUGACGCUGAGGAGCGAAAGCCAGGGGAGCAAACGGG
This 253-nucleotide ribosomal RNA is filed under the name uncultured bacterium. RNAcentral describes it as "partial 16S ribosomal RNA". It matches the Rfam family "Bacterial small subunit ribosomal RNA", at positions 524 to 776 of the family's 1533-position model. The record is from RNAcentral.